RNAcentral lists this unclassified non-coding RNA (163 nucleotides) under soil metagenome. RNAcentral describes it as "partial internal transcribed spacer 1". The record is from RNAcentral.
CGGGACUCGCAAGACUCCUACAACCCUGUGAACUUAACUAUAAGCACGUUGCUUCGGCGGGUGUCUCGGCGAGGGUCCUCCCUCCCCGGGGCGCUAAGCCCGCCGGCAGCCUACUAUACUCUGUCUCUUUGCGUUGGCAUCUCGAGUACAAUCAAACAAGUUA